RNAcentral lists this ribosomal RNA (254 nucleotides) under uncultured bacterium. Its description in RNAcentral is "partial 16S ribosomal RNA". It matches the Rfam family "Bacterial small subunit ribosomal RNA", at positions 524 to 776 of the family's 1533-position model. The record is from RNAcentral.
UACAGAGGGUGCGAGCGUUGUCCGGAAUCACUGGGCGUAAAGGGCGCGUAGGUGGCCUGUGGAAGUCUGCGGUGAAAGCCCGGCGCUCAACGCCGGGUCGGCCGUGGAUACUCUCGGGCUUGAGCUUACUAGAGGCAGAUGGAAUUCCCGGUGUAGCGGUGAAAUGCGCAGAUAUCGGGAGGAACACCGGUGGCGAAGGCGGCCCGCUGGACAGCGCCUGACGCUGAGACGCGAAAGCGUGGGUAGCAAACAGG